AUGCAACCGAGGCCGAAUUGUCUCGCGCUCUUGCCGAUGCCAUCCACCGCCGCCGCAGGCGAGCCCUCCCCGUCGUUCCCCCACGCCGUGACCACCCCCGACGGGUGGCACCCCCGCACAGCGGAGCGCCGCCUGCUCCAUCUACUGCACCACUCCUCCCGCGCCCGGCGACGCCCGCUCGAGCUCCUCGCCUUCGCCGUCCGCCAUUGCCUGCAUUCCUCCCCGCCCUCCACGCAGCACCACUUCCUCGCCGCGCUCCUCCUCCUCUCCUCCCCUCCGCCGCCGGCUCUCUCUCUCCUGAGCCUCCUCCCUCCUGAACCCCCGCCUCCCCUCGCACUCCUCAACGCCGCCCUCAAGUCCCUGUCCGCCCCCUCUCCGCCCCUCGCGCUCCGCCUCCUAUCCUCCCUUCGCCGCCUCCAUGCCCCCGAUCGCCUGUCCUUUCUCCCGCUGCUCGGGUCCACCUCCUCGUUGCCGCUCCUCUCAGCCCUCCAUGGCCUCCUCCUCCGCCUCGGCUUCCUCUCCCACCACGCCAUCUCCCUCGCGCUCCUCCAGCCCUAUCCUCUGCCCCACGCACGAAUCCUGUUCGACGAAAUGCCCCUGCAGAGAAAGUGCACCAUCGCCUACAACACACUCAUCACUGCUUAUGUGAAAGCCAAGGAUAUUUUCACCGCACGCCAUCUGUUUGAUGUAAUGCAGCGGUUCAAGCGCUCUAGGAGAAGCAUGAUUUCCUGGAAUGCUAUGAUCGCAGGGUGUACUUGGUGUGGGAGGGACGACAUGGCAGUGCGGUAUUUCCAAGACAUGGUGAGGGAGGGCAAGGUAGCGCCAGAUGAUGGGACCCUCGCCGCGGUGCUGCCUGCUUGUGGGAGGACGGGGAAUGCUGGUGCCGGGAGGUGGGCGCACGAGUAUGCAUGCAAGAUGGGUAUCUUAGACAGCUCGGUGCAUGUUGCUAAUGCGGUGGUAGAUAUGUAUUGCAAGUGUGGCGAUGUGAGCAGCGCAAGAGAGGUGUUCGAAGGGAUGCAACAGCGGAGUGUGGUGAGCUGGAACACAAUGAUCUCUGGACUUUCAUUGAAUGGGCAAGGGAUUAAGGGGAUUGAACUGUUCCGGCAGAUGGUGAGGUCCGGAGGGGAGCCUAAUUCAGUGACUUUCCUGGGGUUGCUUGGUUGCUGUGCCCAUGCUGGGGCAGUAGAUACUGGGCAGGUGAUCUUCCAGAUUAUGCAGUCAGAGCAUGGGAUUGAGCCGGGAAUUGAACAUUAUGGAUGUAUGGUAGAUUUACUUGGAAGGUCCGGCCUUCUCAAAGAGGCACAUGCGCUGAUUCAAGGGAUGCCAAUGAGCCCUAAUUCUGCAAUAUGGGGAUCACUUCUAAGCGCCUGCCGUGCCCAUGCUGGGCUCGGCAUUGCCGAGGUGGCUCUCAAAGAGCUUAUUAGUCUGGAACCUUGGAAUUCAGGGAACUAUAUGCUGUUGGCCAAUCUUUAUGCGGAAACACAACGUUGGGAGGAGGCAGGUGAUGUGAGGAAACUGAUGAGGAGGAUGACUGUGCAAAAGGCACCAGGGCAGAGCCUAAUUGAAGAACCAAGUUCAAGUUGA
Molecule: ribosomal RNA, 1584 nt
Filed under: Triticum aestivum (bread wheat)
Lineage: Eukaryota; Viridiplantae; Streptophyta; Magnoliopsida; Poales; Poaceae
Description: partial small subunit ribosomal RNA
Source: RNAcentral